Molecule: small RNA, 1916 nt
Filed under: Pan troglodytes (chimpanzee)
Lineage: Eukaryota; Metazoa; Chordata; Mammalia; Primates; Hominidae
Description: retained intron
Source: RNAcentral
AAUGGCAAUGGUUUGGUGGGGUGGGAGGAUCCCAUGGUGUGACGCAGGUCUGAGCCCUGGCCGUGCUGGAUGUGGUCAUGAGCUUCGUCUAGUCAUCAGUCUGUCUCCUACAUGCCCGGGAUCCCACCAGGAGGCAUGUGAGUUUGGAUGGGGAGGCAAAUGCAGUGUUCCUGCCCUCAUGGAGUUGACUGUCUGGUGGGGGAGGCUGGUGUACAAUCUUGCAGGAGCAUCGCCUGGGAGCCCUGAAGGAUGAAUAGGGAGGAGCUGGCCAAGUCGAAAGGAGCGGGUGGUGUCAAGAGACCCCAGCAGAAGGACCAUCGUGCACAAAGAGCCUGAUCUGACGGGGCCUAGCUCCUGCCAGGGCAGUGGGUGCCUAGUGAGGCUGGAGCUAGAAAGCAGAGCCCCGGAGGGGUGCAGGGCACUUCCCACUUUGUCCAGGAGGAGCCUGAGGCCCAGGGAUCGGGACCUUGCCCUGGGAUAACCCAGCAAGUGAGCAUUGGAGCCAGAGCUAGAGCUAAGGGCGCCAGGCCCCAGGCUCAACUGUAUUCUCCACAUGUACUGAGUCGUGUUCUCAGGGUGCUCUUCCCUAGGUGGUCACAUUUGACUCUCACAAUGACCCUGUAAGGGAGGAAGAAUUCUUCUGCCCAUUUCUCAGAACUAGGAAACUGAGGAUCAUCUGGUUGACCGAGUGAAUGAAUGAGCUCGGUUUUCAUAUGUUCACCCAGUUCAUACUAGGCAGAGCCAGGCAGAGGCUUUUGGCCACAAAGCCAGGGUUUUAUCCAUUGUCUCCACUACCUAAAGCAUGUGCCUGCUCCAGGCAGGGGAUCACCGAUGCCCAGGACAAAAUCCUAGUUGUCUUACUUGUUAAAUUAGUUUAAAUUAUUAUUACUGUUAUGAGUAAUAACGGUCUUGUGUUUUAAGUGGUUUUUUUUUUUUUUAACUUCUUCAAAUCACUUUCACAGACCUAAUCUUUGUUUGCAAACACUGAAUGAGAUUAGGGGAUAUUGGUGUUAUUUUACAAAGAGAGGGACUGAGACCCAGGGAGGCUGAAUGACGCGCCAGCUUGAGGCCAGUCCCAGUAGAGAAAUCAGGUUUCUUUUGUGAGUAUGGGGCUUUCUAAAACAAUGGUCUCUGUUCUUAAGAUGAGGAGAGUAUCUGUGUGUCUGCCCCGUGACUGUGACCAGGAGAUACCCAGCCUGGCCCUGAGUUGUUACAGUGUCAUGCAUAUAGGUCACACUGACCUAAGCUCCAAGGAGACUAAAGGGUUUCAUCUUUGUCCUCCUCCUUCUCACUUCCUCCUCAUGCCCUGGAGUAGCCUGCCGGGGCUUCUCUUCCUUGUUCCCAGGGCCAGAUGUCAGAGGCCAUGGACCAGCCAGCUGGGGGUCCUGGAAACCCAAGGCCAGGAGAGGGUGAUGAUGGCAGCAUGGAGCCAGGCACCUGCCAGGAGCUUCUGCACCGACUGCGGGAGCUGGAGGCAGAGAACUCGGCACUUGCCCAGGCCAACGAAAACCAGCGGGAGACUUAUGAGCGCUGUCUGGACGAGGUCUGUGGGUCUGUAGUGGGACUGGGGGGACGUGGCUCAUCUGCUCCUGGCAGAAGCUGGGGUCAGCUGAUGGCUCUGCCUCGGGGCCUUCUGUCCCCAGGUUGCCAACCACGUGGUACAGGCGUUGCUGAACCAGAAGGUGAGUAACCCAGACACCCUGGGGAGAAGCCCUGGGCACAGCAGAUGAGACCCUUCCUGGAGACUAAGGGCUUGGAGGACAUGGGCUGUUGCCCUCCGGUGAUUCCCCGUCUUUCCGCCUUGGGCGGGUCCAUUCUGUUCUACCUAGAGACAGAGGUGGGACUAGGUAAGGCCAGGUCUCUGAGCAGUGGUCACUGAUUUGAGCAUGACUCCUUCCCUUACCCUGUCCCCAGCU